Argiope bruennichi is the source of this 492-nucleotide long non-coding RNA. RefSeq lists it as uncharacterized. The record is from RefSeq and is a predicted model, not a curated record. The transcript is spliced from 3 exons. Lineage: Eukaryota; Metazoa; Arthropoda; Arachnida; Araneae; Araneidae.
ACAAUAAUUGGUAUUUGAUGACUGAACGCAAGUUUAAAAUGAAAUAUAUUGUAACUUGCAAAGACUGUUGAAAUGGUGAUAUUUCAAAAAAUUUUCCCCUGAAAUGAAGCUGCAGACUUCGACUAAUGUAGGAUUGACACUGGCUUGUGUUUGUCUAAAUCAGGGGAUUUGAUUUUAUCAAGCAUAUUUGCUCCUGCUUGGAUACUUGUUCAGUCCAAAAGAUCUCAAUAAAACGCCCGAUUUUAUCGGUUUAAUUAUUCAAGAAUCGGCUAAUAUCAAGUUGGUGCUUAAAAGCAAUGGAAGCAGUCUUCCGCAAUUAUCUGCUAGUGCUAUUGUAGCUGCAUCGAGGAUAAAGGUGGAUUACGAGAUGCCUUAGGCCUGUAUGGGACGAAUACAAAUGAUUGUUCUUUCAUUACUGAGUCAAUAUGGAUCUACUUCAAGCUGAUCUCUGAAUGAGGAAUCUGACUGGAUAAAAGUUGCUCUAGAAUCUUU